CCUCCUCUCGCCCCCGAUCUGCUCCACCUUCCUCGCCGCCCCACACCGCCAAGAACCGCCGGAGCCCCACCCCACCAGGCGCCGCCGGAGCCCCGCCAUACCACGCGCUGCCCCCUCGCCCGCAGUGCCGUCCCCUCCCCCGCAGCACCGCCUCCCUCCCGCCGCGAACCACCGCUGCAGCGAGGCUAGCCACCACCGGAUCCAGACAAACUACGGCCCCCACGCGACCCACCAUUGCCGGCCCGGAGCCUGCAAGGCCUCGCGCGAGCCGCCUCCUAUCCCCCCAUCGCAUGGGGUCGCCCCGCCUUCUCCUCCGCCCUGGUUCAGAUCGUGUCGUGGCGAACUCUCUCCUUCUCGUUGCGGUCUCCGGCCAGGGCGUCAUCUGUGGUGCACGGGUGUCGUCCCACCCCUAUGCAGCUCGGUCGCUGCCCCCUGUGCAGCUCGGUCGCGGCUCCCGUGCAGCUCGGUUGCGUCUGUCUCUCCUUUUCCCUCACAUGCCGAUUGGGGGAGCGAGGAGCGGCGGCGGAGGAGCGUUCUCAUGGCAAGGGGAGGUGCGGGCGCACGGGGCUCCACCGGCGGCAUCUGCAGUUCACUCCAUGCAAGAUGAGCUCGGAAAUGCUCGCGAUGCCGUUCAGAGCUUGUGCCCGUGCAGUACGGCGAGCGCCAUCUCUUCCCAUUGGUCGGUGGACCAUGGCCAUGCAGCUCGGAGAUGCUCUCCAUGUGGUUCUGGACUUGUGUGUGUGCAGUCGGGAGAGCGCCAUCUCCAUCUCUUCCCGUGUGGGGUUCUGGAGGUACCUUCUGAAGAAGAACCUUGAUGCCCGGUGGCUGCAAGGGUUCCCUUGCGCCGUGUUUGCGAUCGGCGAUUCAGGCUACCAGGGGUUGCUACAAAGAAGCUCCGUACAAGGCUUUCACAGCUUGGUGCAAAAUCGAUCAGUGAUUGGAUUGGGAGAUGACCAAGACUCUUCAGGAUAUGAAAAAGCUCUAGGUCCUUGGCUGCUGUCUUUCUGGAAAUCACUGAAUCGAACAAAUCCGUCGCUUUUACCAAGAAUUCAGGCUCGUCCGCGGGCACUCAGACAAGCGUCCAAGCACUCCUAUGAGUGUCCGUGCACAUCAGCGCCUCUACCACAAACAUUCAGAAAAAAGAGGAUUCCCCUAGUGUGGAAAAUGGAUAGCUCUAGAAUCUACUCCUCACAAUGGUUAUAUGCUGCUUUCAACUUCUCUGUGUAGUGAGUUGUAUUUUGUGUGUGGAUGAUUGUAACUUGGAGACAGAAGAAAAGAAAGGGAUGCAAUUUUGUUACACUGCAUCGUGGGUUUUUACUCAGUUUGUAAUUUCUUUCAUUGUAAAUGCAGUGCGCUUGGUGAACCGAAGAAGUACAUUUUUCAAAGUAU
Molecule: ribosomal RNA, 1389 nt
Filed under: Triticum aestivum (bread wheat)
Lineage: Eukaryota; Viridiplantae; Streptophyta; Magnoliopsida; Poales; Poaceae
Description: partial small subunit ribosomal RNA
Source: RNAcentral